This 1554-nucleotide ribosomal RNA is filed under the name Klebsiella pneumoniae. Its description in RNAcentral is "bacterial SSU rRNA". It matches the Rfam family "Bacterial small subunit ribosomal RNA". The record is from RNAcentral. Lineage: Bacteria; Pseudomonadati; Pseudomonadota; Gammaproteobacteria; Enterobacterales; Enterobacteriaceae.
AAAUUGAAGAGUUUGAUCAUGGCUCAGAUUGAACGCUGGCGGCAGGCCUAACACAUGCAAGUCGAGCGGUAGCACAGAGAGCUUGCUCUCGGGUGACGAGCGGCGGACGGGUGAGUAAUGUCUGGGAAACUGCCUGAUGGAGGGGGAUAACUACUGGAAACGGUAGCUAAUACCGCAUAACGUCGCAAGACCAAAGUGGGGGACCUUCGGGCCUCAUGCCAUCAGAUGUGCCCAGAUGGGAUUAGCUAGUAGGUGGGGUAACGGCUCACCUAGGCGACGAUCCGCUAGCUGGUCCUGAGAGGAUGACCAGCCACACUGGAACUGAGACACGGUCCAGACUCCUACGGGAGGCAAGCAGUGGGGAAUAUUGCACCAAUGGGCGCAAGCCUGAAUGCAGCCAUGCCGCGUGUGUGAAGAAGGCCUUCGGUUGUAAAGCACUUUCAGCGGGGAGGAAGGCGAUAAGGUUAAUAACCUUGUCGAUUGACGUUACCCGCAGAAGAAGCACCGGCUAACUCCGUGCCAGCAGCCGCGGUAAUACGGAGGGUGCAAGCGUUAAUCGGAAUUACUGGGCGUAAAGCGCACGCAGGCGGUCUGUCAAGUCGGAUGUGAAAUCCCCGGGCUCAACCUGGGAACUGCAUUCGAAACUGGCAGGCUAGAGUCUUGUAGAGGGGGGUAGAAUUCCAGGUGUAGCGGUGAAAUGCGUAGAGAUCUGGAGGAAUACCGGUGGCGAAGGCGGCCCCCUGGACAAAGACUGACGCUCAGGUGCGAAAGCGUGGGGAGCAAACAGGAUUAGAUACCCUGGUAGUCCACGCCGUAAACGAUGUCGAUUUGGAGGUUGUGCCCUUGAGGCGUGGCUUCCGGAGCUAACGCGUUAAAUCGACCGCCUGGGGAGUACGGCCGCAAGGUUAAAACUCAAAUGAAUUGACGGGGGCCCGCACAAGCGGUGGAGCAUGUGGUUUAAUUCGAUGCAACGCGAAGAACCUUACCUGGUCUUGACAUCCACAGAACUUUCCAGAGAUGGAUUGGUGCCUUCGGGAACUGUGAGACAGGUGCUGCAUGGCUGUCGUCAGCUCGUGUUGUGAAAUGUUGGGUUAAGUCCCGCAACGAGCGCAACCCUUAUCCUUUGUUGCCAGCGGUUAGGCCGGGAACUCAAAGGAGACUGCCAGUGAUAAACUGGAGGAAGGUGGGGAUGACGUCAAGUCAUCAUGGCCCUUACGACCAGGGCUACACACGUGCUACAAUGGCAUAUACAAAGAGAAGCGACCUCGCGAGAGCAAGCGGACCUCAUAAAGUAUGUCGUAGUCCGGAUUGGAGUCUGCAACUCGACUCCAUGAAGUCGGAAUCGCUAGUAAUCGUAGAUCAGAAUGCUACGGUGAAUACGUUCCCGGGCCUUGUACACACCGCCCGUCACACCAUGGGAGUGGGUUGCAAAAGAAGUAGGUAGCUUAACCUUCGGGAGGGCGCUUACCACUUUGUGAUUCAUGACUGGGGUGAAGUCGUAACAAGGUAACCGUAGGGGAACCUGCGGUUGGAUCACCUCCUUACCUUAAAGAA